RNAcentral lists this ribosomal RNA (275 nucleotides) under uncultured bacterium. RNAcentral describes it as "partial 16S ribosomal RNA". It matches the Rfam family "Bacterial small subunit ribosomal RNA", at positions 227 to 507 of the family's 1533-position model. The record is from RNAcentral.
GAGCCCGCGCCCGAUUAGCUAGUUGGUGAGGUAACGGCUCACCAAGGCAAUGAUCGGUAGCUGGUCUGAGAGGAUGGCCAGCCACACUGGAACUGAGACACGGUCCAGACUCCUACGGGAGGCAGCAGUGGGGAAUCUUGCGCAAUGGGCGAAAGCCUGACGCAGCGACGCCGCGUGGGGGAUGAAGCUUCUCGGAGUGUAAACCCCUUUCGACCGGGACGAAUGCCCGCAAGGGAGUGACGGUACCGGUAGAAGAAGCCCCGGCUAACUACGUG